CAGCAAACAGGAUAAGCAUUCAGAUUAAAAAUAGAAUAACAAUGUCUUCAUUAAAUUUCUCUAUUAUUCACUAAACUGGUCAAUCAGUAAAUCCAAAUAAUUUCCAACAAAUGGACACAAUGGUCUCUCAGCUAAGGCCAAAUAUCCUCAGAGUUCAGUGUAUGUUCAGUUUUGUUUCAUUUCUUCGACACACAGACAAACACACACACCUCUCUCUGACACACACAUACAAACUUGCUUACAGGAAACAGGGAGUACUUUAUUUCCUGGCAUCCAAUAUCCACUUCUAGGAAUCUGUUCUGUAGGCGUGGCGUACAUCUAUAUUAAAGUACCACGCACUGGAAUCCAGACACACUCUGCUUUGAAGACCGAGACGUUUCAACCGUUGCACCAGUGGAAUCUAAAGGAUGGCCGCUCAACCUGAAAAAGAGAACCCGAUCGAACAGCGAUGGAAUAGGAGGAGGAUCCAGGAAAAUUACAUUAGUGGGGAACAUAUGGUUAUAGAUGAUCUGAAGAGGAGACACCGCAACCAGUACACUGAUAAAGAUGUGGCUGAACCAAAUGAAAUAACUUGGAACAAUGUCAAAGUUCCACAUUAUCCUCGACCUGUAGCGUUCCAUGGUUCAAGAGUAUCUCACAUCACGACUGAAAAAGGUAUGAAAGGGAUUCUGGACUGCAACGGGUUUAAAGGAGGGGUUAGGAAUCUCUUGUGGUGGGGGACAGUGAUUGGUGAAAACGAGAUCACUACUGCAGAGCAGAGGUACCUGGAGGAACUUUUCCCUGGUCGGAGUCCAGAAGAGAGAGAGCGACAGAAGCCUUUCCUGCAUGAAUUCACCACCUCUCCUGAAUUUCAGGAUGUCUCUCGCUAUGGAAACUUCCGGUUCACUUUCUCACUGGCUGAUGUUAUGAACGGGUACAGCACACAAUUCUGUGGAGGGGCACACCCUGUCCUUAGAGUUUAUGAGACUGUAAUCUACAAGCAGGAGGUCAUGUACGUGGUGCUGAUUCAUAGCCGUGAUGUUCAUGAUUAUGAUGGUUACGCAGAGUUGGGGGAUAUUGAUGAGGGUGUGUGUGCUUACAGGGAAGGAGAGAUCAUCUGGCGUGCUCAAGCCAUCUCUGAAACACACAGCUAUAGACUGACUGAAAACAGAGAUGACAAACAAGUUAGCGUAGGAGGUGGGUUUAAGGUAUUCUAUCUGUGGGAUCACGUGAGCCUGGCCUUUCACGUGCCAGAAGGUAAAAUUCUAAAAUUCUCUUUGGAGGCGCUUUUGGGGGCUCUCACUGCGUGUGAUAAUGGAGACAAGGAUCUGAAUGAUCUAAUUGGCAAAGCGAGAGCAGAAGAGAUAGUUCAGGGAAUGAAA
Long non-coding RNA from Clupea harengus (Atlantic herring), 1361 nucleotides. The record is from Ensembl. Lineage: Eukaryota; Metazoa; Chordata; Actinopteri; Clupeiformes; Clupeidae.